This 293-nucleotide long non-coding RNA is filed under the name Ananas comosus (pineapple). Its description in RNAcentral is "long non-coding RNA (ACOM_LNC034716)". Lineage: Eukaryota; Viridiplantae; Streptophyta; Magnoliopsida; Poales; Bromeliaceae. The record is from RNAcentral.
UAGAAUAUUUUGCUGCUAAAGAAAAUAAAUAUUUCAUGCUAUUAUGUGUCGGCGCACAAGAAUUUUUUUGACCGGCAUGCAUCGGCACAGCUCGGCACGCACCGUGUCGUACCGUGCCGGCAAGUUUCCGGCACGCUCCCGUACCAUGACACUUAAAUCCUUGACUCUAUAGUACAGCGAACGAGCGAAUGAGGGGUAGUCUUGCGACGGAUGGUACUCCGUAAAGGGCAAGGCUUGCGAAGGCAAGUGUGCCGAGCGGGGAUUCAUGGGGCGUAGUGUUAAUGAAACUCAAG